GACGAACGCUGGCGGCGUGCUUAACACAUGCAAGUCGAACGGAAAGGCCCUGCUUUUGUGGGGUGCUCGAGUGGCGAACGGGUGAGUAACACGUGAGUAACCUGCCCUUGACUUUGGGAUAACUUCAGGAAACUGGGGCUAAUACCGGAUAGGAGCUCCUGCUGCAUGGUGGGGGUUGGAAAGUUUCGGCGGUUGGGGAUGGACUCGCGGCUUAUCAGCUUGUUGGUGGGGUAGUUGCUUACCAAGGCUUUGACGGGUAGCCGGCCUGAGAGGGUGACCGGCCACAUUGGGACUGAGAUACGGCCCAGACUCCAACGGGAGGCAGCAGUGGGGAAUAUUGCACAAUGGGCGGAAGCCUGAUGCAGCAACGCCGCGUGCGGGAUGACGGCCUUCGGGUUGUAAACCGCUUUCGCCUGUGACGAAGCGUGAGUGACGGUAAUGGGUAAAGAAGCACCGGCUAACUACGUG
RNAcentral lists this ribosomal RNA (468 nucleotides) under uncultured bacterium. RNAcentral describes it as "partial 16S ribosomal RNA". It matches the Rfam family "Bacterial small subunit ribosomal RNA", at positions 28 to 507 of the family's 1533-position model. The record is from RNAcentral.